Molecule: unclassified non-coding RNA, 21 nt
Filed under: Mus musculus (house mouse)
Lineage: Eukaryota; Metazoa; Chordata; Mammalia; Rodentia; Muridae
Description: oocyte_clustered_small_RNA14355
Source: RNAcentral
AUGGUACCAGCUCAGCAGGUG